GCCGGUGUAGCUCAGACGGUUCAAGAGCGCAGUCCUGGUACGACUGAGGUCGUGAGUUCAAUUCUCACCACUGGCC
Molecule: transfer RNA, 76 nt
Filed under: Acidobacteriota bacterium
Lineage: Bacteria; Pseudomonadati; Acidobacteriota
Description: Acidobacteria bacterium (activated sludge metagenome) tRNA-Thr
Rfam family: tRNA
About the family: Transfer RNA (tRNA) molecules are approximately 80 nucleotides in length. Their secondary structure includes four short double-helical elements and three loops (D, anti-codon, and T loops).
Source: RNAcentral